GCUGGCGGCGUGCUUAACACAUGCAAGUCGCACGAGUAACUCUUCUGCUUGCAGAAGAUAGUAAAGUGGCGCACGGGUGAGUAACGCGUGGGUAAUCUACCCUCAAAUCCGGGAUAACUUCGCGAAAGCGGGGCUAAUACCGGAUAACAUUCUUUGUCCUUCGGUACAUUGGAUCAAAGGUGGCCUCUACAUGUAAGCUACCGUUUGGGGAUGAGCCCGCGUACCAUUAGCUUGUUGGUGAGGUAAAAGCUCACCAAGGCCGCGAUGGUUAGCUGGUCUGAGAGGAUGAUCAGCCACACUGGAACUGACACACGGUCCAGACUCCUACGGGAGGCAGCAGUGAGGAAUUUUGCGCAAUGGGGGAAACCCUGACGCAGCAACGCCGCGUGAGUGAAGAAGGCUUUCGGGUCGUAAAGCUCUGUCAAGUGGGAAGAACCUGUUUGAUGCCAAUACCAUCAAGCACUGACGGUACCACUGAAGGAAGCACCGGCUAACUCCGUGCCAGCAGCCGCGGUAAUACGGGGGGUGCAAGCGUUAUUCGGAUUUACUGGGCGUAAAGGGCGCGUAGGCGGUCACUUAAGUCAGAUGUGAAAGCCCGGGGCUUAACCCCGGAACUGCAUUUGAAACUAAGUGACUUGAGUUGGGA
Molecule: ribosomal RNA, 646 nt
Filed under: uncultured delta proteobacterium
Lineage: Bacteria; Deltaproteobacteria
Description: bacterial SSU rRNA
Rfam family: Bacterial small subunit ribosomal RNA
Source: RNAcentral